This 350-nucleotide transfer-messenger RNA is filed under the name Parasporobacterium paucivorans. RNAcentral describes it as "Standard tmRNA". It matches the Rfam family "transfer-messenger RNA". From Rfam's summary of the family: Bacterial tmRNA, also known as 10Sa RNA or SsrA, is named for its dual tRNA and mRNA-like properties. RNAcentral also lists the same sequence under 1 other name. The record is from RNAcentral. Lineage: Bacteria; Bacillati; Bacillota; Clostridia; Lachnospirales; Lachnospiraceae.
GGGGUUGUACUGGUUUCGACGGGGUUUUAGAAGUUAAGGUAGCCACCCGCGGUUUGGGUCCGCGUCACCAAUCCAAACACUAAAAUAAACGCAAACAAUAAUAAAUUAGCGUACGCUGCCUAGUGGCAGCUGUCGUCCUUAAGCUUCUCGCUGCUUAAGAGUUCGGCAUAAAAUUUUGCGGGGCACUUUGUUUCCAAAGCUUUGAGGGAAUAAAAGAACUAUGAAGCUACUGAAACCUUAAGCCUGUCAUUAGGCGUCUGGUAGAGGGAAUGUCAAUAUAAUGACUGUGGUGGGAGAAGCUUUAAUGGAAGAGAUUUCGGACAGGGGUUCGAUUCCCCUCAGCUCCAUUG